GUCAGGAUGGCUGACCGGCUUAAAGCGUUGCGUUCAGGUUGCAGUCUUCAUGAAUGGGCGCGGGUUUGAAUCCCACUUCUGACA
This is a non-coding RNA of Trichonephila inaurata madagascariensis, 84 nucleotides long. Lineage: Eukaryota; Metazoa; Arthropoda; Arachnida; Araneae; Nephilidae. The record is from the annotation of a GenBank genome assembly.